UUUUGUAUCACUUUAUUUUGAAUUUUGAAUUUACAAUGGAUUUGGCUAGAUAGGCCAAUGAUACAGUUUGGAGUCACUAUGAAGAUUCACAAGGUAUUGAUUCCUUAUUCUCAACUAACCUAUAUUCCUCCAGCUCUAUUUUGCUUUUACCAUCUUCAACCAUUAAUACUAAAUUCAAAGAUAUCUGCUUUGGUGUUGAAGAACCCGAGUCUGCAAACCUCUGUACGCAGAAGGGUUUCAGGGUUCUGCCCAGAAAAUACAGAGAACAAUUGAGCUCCAUUAAAGCAAAUGGAAAGUGCAGCACAUGAAUACUGCUUGAAGCACCAUUACCAAACUCAUGAACACCAAACAAGACUACAGUCGGUCAAACAAUGUAGUUGAAGAACAAUUAGAUCAUACUUUUUCUGUCACUACUUAAUUCCAAUCUGUUCUUGACCUGGAAUCCAGCUACCCAAAUUCAUCAAACACCUUAAUUCUCCUUUUAAACAACAGCUUAGCCUGCAAUUAUCUUAACACAGAGAUUUCAAACCACCAUGAAAAUGUUCAUCCAUGUCUUCCCCUGCAUUCUUUCUUUAAUCUCCAUCGCUUUGAUCCAUUUCCCAUCUCAUACAGGUAACUACUAUUAUAGCAAUUAUUCUCCUAGUCAUUUCAACCAUCUUGAUCAUGGUUAACCAGCAUUAAGAAAAGCUUAAAGUAAUUGAAUCAACAUUGUUAAUGUGGCUCACUUGUUUUUCCAGUAGAUGCUGCACCAGUGGGAGUGUGCUACGGCAGAGUAGCCAACAACCUGCCACUUCCAGCUACGGUGGUGGGAC
Molecule: long non-coding RNA, 812 nt
Filed under: Linum usitatissimum (flax)
Lineage: Eukaryota; Viridiplantae; Streptophyta; Magnoliopsida; Malpighiales; Linaceae
Description: long non-coding RNA (LUSI_LNC007651)
Source: RNAcentral